This 966-nucleotide ribosomal RNA is filed under the name uncultured bacterium. RNAcentral's name for it is "bacterial SSU rRNA". It matches the Rfam family "Bacterial small subunit ribosomal RNA", at positions 8 to 947 of the family's 1533-position model. The record is from RNAcentral.
AGAGUUUGAUCCUGGCUCAGGACGAACGCUGGCGGCAUGCCUAAUACAUGCAAGUCGAACGAGCUGACGGAGUGCUUGCACUCCCGACGCGAGUGGCGGACGGGUGAGUAACACGUGGGAAACCUACCUGUAAGUAGGGGAUAACAUUCGGAAACGGAUGCUAAUACCCUAUAGAUUUCAGUUCCGUAUGGAACUGAAAGGAAAGACGGCUUUGCUGUCGCUUACAGAUGGUCCCGCGGCGCAUUAGCUAGUUGGUGGGAUAAAAGCUCACCAAGGCUGUGAUGCGUAGCCGACCUGAGAGGGUAACCGGCCACACUGGGACUGAGACACGGCCCAGACUCCUACGGGAGGCAGCAGUAGGGAAUCUUCCGCAAUGGACGAAAGUCUGACGGAGCAAUGCCGCGUGAAUGAAGAAGGUCUUCGGAUCGUAAAAUUCUGUUGUUAGAGAAGAACAAGGAGUAAGUAACUACUACUCCCUUGACGGUAUCUAACCAGAAAGCCACGGCUAACUACGUGCCAGCAGCCGCGGUAAUACGUAGGUGGCAAGCGUUGUCCGGAUUUAUUGGGCGUAAAGGGAGCGCAGGCGGUGACUUAAGUCUGAUGUGAAAGCCCACGGCUCAACCGUGGAAGGUCAUUGGAAACUGGGUCACUUGAAUAUAGAAGAGGAAAGUGGAAUUCCAUGUGUAGCGGUGAAAUGCGUAGAUAUAUGGAGGAACACCAGUGGCGAAGGCGACUUUCUGGUCUAUUAUUGACGCUGAGGCUCGAAAGCAUGGGUAGCAAACAAGAUUAGAUACCCUGGUAGUCCAUGCCGUAAACGAUGAGUGCUUAGUGGUUGGGGGGCUUCCCCCCCCUCGGUGCCGGCGUUUAACCCAUUAAGCCCUCCCCGCCGGGGGAGUACGGGCCCCAAGGGUUAAACUCAAAAGGAUUUGACGGGGGACCCCCCACAGCCGGGGGAACAUGGGGGUU